CCUACGGGAGACAGCAGUGAGGAAUAUUGGUCAAUGGCCGGAAGGCUGAACCAGCCAUGCCGCGUGAAGGUCAGUGCCCUAUGGGCGUUAAACUUCUUUUGUGCGGGAGCAAUAAUGGUCACGUGUGGCCAGACGAGAGUACCGUACGAAUAAGCAUCGGCUAACUCCGUGCCAGCAGCCGCGGUUAUACCGGGGAUGCAAGCGUUAUCCGGAAUUAUUGGGUUUAAAGGGUGCGUAGGCUGUGAGGUAAGUCAGCGGUGAAAUGCCCCCGCUCAACGGGGUGAAGUGCCAUUGAUACUGCCUGGCUGGAAUGCGGAUGCGGUGGGAGGAAUGUGUGGUGUAGCGGUGAAAUGCAUAGAUAUCACACAGAACACCGAUUGCGAAGGCAUCUCACGAAUCCGCGAUUGACGCUGAUGCACGAAAGCGUGGGUAUCAAACAGGAUUAGAUACCCCUGUAGUC
Molecule: ribosomal RNA, 460 nt
Filed under: uncultured bacterium
Lineage: Bacteria
Description: partial 16S ribosomal RNA
Rfam family: Bacterial small subunit ribosomal RNA
Source: RNAcentral